This 860-nucleotide ribosomal RNA is filed under the name uncultured bacterium. RNAcentral describes it as "bacterial SSU rRNA". It matches the Rfam family "Bacterial small subunit ribosomal RNA", at positions 28 to 896 of the family's 1533-position model. The record is from RNAcentral.
GAUGAACGCUAGCGGCAGGCCUAACACAUGCAAGUCGAGGGGUAGAGUAGCAAUACUUGAGACCGGCGCACGGGUGCGUAACGCGUAUGCAACCUACCUUUUACAGGGGAAUAGCCCAGAGAAAUUUGGAUUAAUGCCCCAUGGUAUAAUUAGAUGGCAUCAUUUGAUUAUUAAAGUUCCAACGGUAAAAGAUGGGCAUGCGUCCUAUUAGCUAGAUGGUAAGGUAACGGCUUACCAUGGCUACGAUAGGUAGGGGUCCUGAGAGGGAGAUCCCCCACACUGGUACUGAGACACGGACCAGACUCCUACGGGAGGCAGCAGUGAGGAAUAUUGGACAAUGGGCGCAAGCCUGAUCCAGCCAUGCCGCGUGCAGGAAGACGGUCCUAUGGAUUGUAAACUGCUUUUGUACGGGAAGAAACACUCCUACGUGUAGGAGCUUGACGGUACCGUAAGAAUAAGGAUCGGCUAACUCCGUGCCAGCAGCCGCGGUAAUACGGAGGAUCCAAGCGUUAUCCGGAAUCAUUGGGUUUAAAGGGUCCGUAGGCGGUUUGAUAAGUCAGUGGUGAAAGCCCAUCGCUCAACGAUGGAACGGCCAUUGAUACUGUCAGACUUGAAUUACUGGGAAGUAACUAGAAUAUGUAGUGUAGCGGUGAAAUGCUUAGAUAUUACAUGGAAUACCAAUUGCGAAGGCAGGUUACUACCAGUGGAUUGACGCUGAUGGACGAAAGCGUGGGGAGCGAACAGGAUUAGAUACCCUGGUAGUCCACGCCGUAAACGAUGGAUACUAGCUGUUCGGGGCAACCUGAGUGGCUAAGCGAAAGUGAUAAGUAUCCCACCUGGGGAGUACGUUCCCAAGAAUG